UACAGAGGGGGCAAGCGUUGUUCGGAAUUACUGGGCGUAAAGGGCGCGUAGGCGGCCUGCUAAGUCGAACGUGAAAUCCCCGGGCUCAACCCGGGAACUGCGUCCGAUACUGGCAGGCUUGAAUUCGGGAGAGGGAUGUGGAAUUCCAGGUGUAGCGGUGAAAUGCGUAGAUAUCAGGAGGAACACCGGUGGCGAAGGCGGGUCUCUGGGCAAUGAACUGACGCUGGAGGAGCGAAAGCGUGGGGAGCAAACGGG
This 255-nucleotide ribosomal RNA is filed under the name uncultured bacterium. Its description in RNAcentral is "partial 16S ribosomal RNA". It matches the Rfam family "Bacterial small subunit ribosomal RNA", at positions 524 to 776 of the family's 1533-position model. The record is from RNAcentral.